GGACCCGCACAAGCGGUGGAGCAUGUGGUUUAAUUCGAUGCAACGCGAAGAACCUUACCUGGUCUUGACAUCCUGCGAACUUUCUAGAAAUAGAUUGGUGCCUUCGGGAACGCAGUGACAGGUGCUGCAUGGCUGUCGUCAGCUCGUGUCGUGAGAUGUUGGGUUAAGUCCCGUAACGAGCGCAACCCCUAUCCUUAAUUGCCAGCGGUUAGGCCGGGAACUCUAAGGAGACUGCCGAUGACAAAUCGGAGGAAGGUGGGGGACGACGUCAAGUCAUCAUGGCCCUUACGUGUAGGGCUACACACGUGCUACAAUGGCCGGUACAAACGGUUGCGAACCCGCGAGGGGAAGCUAA
RNAcentral lists this ribosomal RNA (355 nucleotides) under uncultured bacterium. RNAcentral's name for it is "bacterial SSU rRNA". It matches the Rfam family "Bacterial small subunit ribosomal RNA", at positions 917 to 1271 of the family's 1533-position model. The record is from RNAcentral.